This is a non-coding RNA of Musa acuminata subsp. malaccensis (wild Malaysian banana), 109 nucleotides long. Lineage: Eukaryota; Viridiplantae; Streptophyta; Magnoliopsida; Zingiberales; Musaceae. The record is from Rfam.
UAGUUGCUAUGAUGUUGGCCCGGUUCACUCAGAAUUCACCAGCAAGCCAAAGAAGAGGGCUUUACGUACUCUGUUCUGAUUGAGCCGCGCCAAUAUCUUAGUAUCUUUU